This is a long non-coding RNA of Homo sapiens (human), 2097 nucleotides long. Ensembl annotates it as Pvt1 oncogene. Its record names the gene PVT1. The record is from Ensembl. NCBI's taxonomy places the organism in Eukaryota, Metazoa, Chordata, Mammalia, Primates, Hominidae.
UUUUUUUUUUUGUUUGUUUGUUUUUUGAUACAGAGUUUCACUCUUGUUGCCUAGGGUGGAGUACAAUGGCGUGAUCUCAGCUCACCACAAGCUCUGCCUCCCGGGGUCAAGCGAUUCUCCCCAGUAGCUGAGAUUACAGGCAUGCGCCACCACGUCCGGCUAAUUUUGUAUUUUUAGUAGUGAUGGGGUUUCUCCGUGUUGGUCAGGCUGGUCUCGAACUCCUGACCUCAGGUGAUCCGUCUGCCUCAGCCUCCCAAAGUGCUGGGAUUACAGGAGUGAGCCACCGAGCCUGGCCGCUUCCGGUCUUUGGAUUUGAUUUUCCUCAAGUGUAAUUGAAAGCAGGGGCCUGGAUGGCCGCCAUAGUCCCUCCCAGCUUCGACAUUACACAUUCCUGCCAAUCCAUUUUUCAGGCUGAUAACAUUGUUCAGAGUUUAAUGGGAGCAGGGUAAGAUAGUCACCGUGUGGAGCAAAAAUUGAAGGAAAUAUUCCAGAUGUCAUGAUUUUUUACCUGUAGCCCCUCUGCUGCCACACCCUUGUGCACAUCCUCCAGACACUUUUAAAGAAUAAACUCUAUUUUCAGAAGAGUUUUAGAUUUACAGGAGAAUUGUGAAAACAGUUCAAAAAGUUCUCAUAUACCCUGCUCCCAGUUUUCCCUGUUACUAACGCUUUGCAUUAGUGUGGCACAUUUGCCACAAUUAAUGGACCAAUAUUGAUACAUUAUUAUUUACUGAAGUUGAAACAUUACUUUAGUUUUUACCUGGUCCAGGAUCCCAUCUGGGAUCCCACAUCACAUUUAGUGAUCAUGUCUUCUUAGAUUGCCCUGGGCUGUGCCGCUUUCUCAGACUCUCCUGGUUUGUGAUGACAUUGACAGUCUUGAGUUUUGAUGACCAGUUUUGACUGGUCAGGUAUUUCAUAGAACGUACCUCUGUGAGGGUUGUCUGAUUCUUCUUCUUAUUAGAUUGGGAUUAUGGAGGAAGGCCACAGAGGUAAAGUUCCGCUUUUAUGAAAUCAAGGGUAGGCACCAUCAGCAUGACCUAUCACUGAUGUUGACUUUGAUUACCUGGCUGCUGUAGUGGUUGUCAGGUUUGUCCACUUUAAAGAUACUUUUGUGUUUUUGUUCUUUCUUAACUCCCUUUUUAUAUUAAACUCUUCAGAAGGAAGUCACUGUGCAUAGCCAUCCCCUAAGAAGAGGGCAUUCCUGCUCUUCCUUCUCCAUGGCUAGAGGAUCUACAUGAACUAUUUAGAUUUUUUCUACCUGGGAGAUUUAACUCCUCUCUCCUAUUUAUUUAUUUAUAUAUCAGCAUGGACUUGCAGGCCAACAGAGAUUUUGAGAAACACAUUGAAGGAUCUGUUAACACUUGAUAUACCCAAUAAAAGCAGUGGUUGUGCCAGUGCUGAUCUGUCUUGAUGUGAAUGUGAACAAUGGGAACCUGAGCUGAGCAGUUAAUGCUAGGGUGACAGAAACUGGACCUCUCCCAAGACAUGUGACAGAGUAAUACAGCAGCCAACUUCUUCGCCAAAUUAAAGUUUUACAAGAUUUAACCUGUCAUCAAGACCUGGGAUUUUGGUGAGCCAGUCUUGGUGCUCUGUGUUCACCUGGUUCAUCUGAGGAGCUGCAUCUACCCUGCCCAUGCCAUAGAUCCUGCCCUGUUUGCUUCUCCUGUUGCUGCUAGUGGACAUGAGAAGGACAGAAUAACGGGCUCCCAGAUUCACAAGCCCCACCAAGAGGAUCACCCCAGGAACGCUUGGAGGCUGAGGAGUUCACUGAGGCUACUGCAUCUUGAGACUCAGGAUGAAGACCCAGCUUGGGGCUGUCAAAGGUUUUUUGCAUGUCUGACACCCAUGACUCCACCUGGACCUUAUGGCUCCACCCAGAAGCAAUUCAGCCCAACAGGAGGACAGCUUCAACCCAUUACGAUUUCAUCUCUGCCCCAACCACUCAGCAGCAAGCACCUGUUACCUGUCCACCCCCACCCCUUCCCCCAAACUGCCUUUGAAAAAUCCCUAACCUAUGAGCUUUGAAUAAGAUGAGUACGAACUUCAUCGCCCACGUGGCGUGGCCGGCCUCGUGUCUAUUAAAUUCUUUUUCUACUACAA